ACAAACUGCACCCCACUAUACUAUAAUACCAUACUGCACCCCCACUAUACUAUAAUAACAUACUGCACCCCACUAUACUAUAAUACCAUUCUGCACCCCACUAUACUAUAAUACCAUUCUGCACCCCCUCUAUAAUAUAAUAACAUAAUGCACCCCGCUAUAAUAUAAUACCAUACUGCACCCCACUAUACUAUAAUACCAUUCUGCACCCCCUCUAUAAUAUAAUAACAUACUGCACCCCGCUAUAAUAUAAUAACAUACUGCACCCCACUAUACUAUAAUAACAUUCUGCACCCCACUGUUUUGUAAAAACAUACUGCACCCCACUGUUCUAUAAUAACAAACUGCACCCCACUAUACUAUAAUAACAUACUGCACCCCACUAUACCAUAAUAACAUACGGCAUCCCACUAUACUAUACCAACAUACUGCACCCCACUAUAGUAUAAUAACAUACUGCACCCCACUAUUUUAUAAUAACAUACUAAACCCCACUAUACUAUAAUAAUGUAAUGCACUCCACUAUACUAUAAUAACAAACUGCACCCCACUAUACUAUAACAACAUACUGCACCCCAUUAUACUAUAAUAACAUACUGCACCCCACUAUUUUAUAAUAACAUACUGCACCCCACUAUACUAUAAUAACACACUGCACCCCCACUAUUCUAUAAUAACCUACUGUACCCAACUAUACUAUAACAACAUACUGCACCCCACUAUACUAUAAUACCAUACUGAACCCCACUAUACUAUAAUAACACACUGCACCUCCACUAUUCUAUAAUAACAUACUGCACCCCACUAUACAAUAAUAACAUACUGCACCCCCACUAUGCUAUAAUAACAUACUGCAUCUCACUAUACUUUUCACAUAAUAACAUACUGCACCCCACUACAAUAUUCAUGUAAUAACAUGCUGCACCCCACUUUACUAUUUAUACAAUAACAUGCUGUACCCCACUACAAUAUUCAUGUAAUAACAUACGGCACCCCACUAUACUAUUCAUAUAAUUACAUACUGCACCCCACUAUACUAUUCAUAUAAUAACAUGCUGCUCCUCCUCUGUACUAUUCAUAUAAUAACAUACUGCACCCCCACUAUUCUUUUCAUAUGUGCAUGUGUGUGUAUCUGUGUGUCUGUGUAUCUGCAAGUGUGUCAUUAUGGGUGACUUCUUAUCUGCAUGUGCGGGUGCCUGUGUAUCUGUUUGUAUUUGUGUGUAUUUUAUUUCUUUUUCCUUAAAGGUAUUUUUAUAUUACGUUUUUUCAGGUUUGUCCUAUUUGAGUAAAUACGGUAAUAACAUGACCACAUCCCCAUAUACUCUUCUUUCAUAACAUUCUGCUCCCCUACUAUACUUUUCAUUUAAUAACAUGCUGCACCCCCACUAUGCUAUUUAUAUAAUAACAUAUUGCACCCCACUAUACUAUUCAUACAAUAACAUACUGCACCCCACUAUGCUAUUCAUAAAAUAAAAUACUGCACUCCCAUUAUACUAUUCAUAUCAUAACAUGUUGCACCCCAUUAUACUAUUCAUACAAUAACAUACUGCUCCCCUCUAUACUAUUCAUAAAAAACAUACAGCACCCCACUAUACUAUUCAUAAUAUAAAAUACUGCACCCCCAUUAUACUAUUCAUAUCAUUACACGUUGCACCCCACUAUACUAUUCAUAUAACAUACUGCACCCCGUAGACUAUUCAUGUAAUAACAUACUGCACCCCACUACAAUAUUCAUGUAAUAACAUAUUGCACCCCCACUAUUCUAUUCAUAUAAUAACAUGUUGAACCCACUUUACUAUUCAUAUAACAUGACUGCACCUCCACUAUACUAUUCAUAUAAUAACACGCUGCACCUCUAUACUAUUUAUACAAUAAUAUGACUGCACUCCGCUGUACUAUUCAUAUAAUAACAUAUUGCAUCCCACUAUACUAUUCAUGUAAUAACAUGCUGCUACCCACUAUACUAUACAUAUAAAAACAUGACUGCAACCCCACUAUACUAUUCAUGUACCUUUCAACCUAUCAUCCCUGCCCCUCCCCUUUCCUUUACUUCCUUUGAAGUUCACACUGUCCGCCUUUUUAAGCCCACUCGUUUAAGAAUUGCCAUCAUCUAUCACCCCCCACCCCACUUUCUCUCCUCUUGCACUCCCUCGCUCAUACAUGGGGACCUUAACAUCCCAAUCAACAACCUCAACUGCCCUGAUGCCUCCCGUCUGCUCUCUGUAACCUCUUCCUUUGGCCUCACGCAGUUGUUUACUUCAGCAACUCAUACAGCAGGAAACACUCUUGGCAUCAUCUUCACCAAUCUCUGUACCACCUCUAAUCUCUGCACUGUUCCAUUUCCUUUGUCUGACCACCAUCUGCUAACAUUUGACAUCAGCAUACCCCAUACCCUGACGAAGGUGCAUUACACAAAGCACCGAAACACGCGUCGGGUGUUUUUCCUUUUUACUUUAUUUUGAGUAUGGGCACUGGGUAUUGAUUAGUUGAUUUAAGCACUUUUUAUUUCCAAUAUGAUUUGCUUAUGUAGCACUUUCUAACUUCUUUUCCACUAUGCCUGUCUAGCUAGAUUACCAGGGAGAGAGGCUUUAUAAAUCCUACUGUCAGUUUAUUUGAAACUGAUUUAUAGACCUAACACUGCCUACUCUCUACUCUCUCUACUUGACAUUAUCUCUCCUCUGGAAUUUUUGUGCUGUAACCCUAAACUGACUAGUGAGGUCAGUUUUCCUACCACCUCUUUUGACAUUUUAGGAUACAGUACCAAGAGGAGAGUCAGUAAUAGAUCAGAGACGGGACUACUACUUGGGAUUGAUCUUUUAAUUUAAGCAAGUUUCCUAUUAAAGCUUAAUUUUAGUGUCUCUAUAUCAUAUCCCUAUACAUGGAUGGUAGCUAUCCCUACCUGAUUCUAUCCUGUAUGCAUAGUGGUAUUAGCUACACUUGUAUAUACUUUAUUUUCCACUUACUUAAUGGUCUCUUUUUUCGUUCUGGGAUAUAUUAGCCAUUGAAUUAAUAUUUAAACCUACUUUGCUAUAUAUUUAUCCAUAUGAUGUACCUGGUCUCCUGACCUUGUUUGCACUGAGACCAGAAGCAUCUGUCUUUUGUUUUUCUCUUUACUAUAUAUAUUGGGGUUAAGCCCCUGGAGACCCCUGGAGUCUCCUUGCGGUACAUAAGACUUGGAGUCAUUACCGGCACUAUUACCCUAGGGUCUAGUGCAUGGGAUUGUACUCCGUGUCUUUUAUUUCUUUUUACCCCAUACCCAAAUUUCACCACCCUCAACUCUCCAAUCUCGCAGAAACCUAAACUUCCUUGAUCUCCAGCAUUUCUCCUCCAAAUUCAAAACUCUCCUUUUACCCAUCUCAAAUCUAACUUGCCCUAACUCUGCUACCUCACUCUACAACUCAACUCUCUCCUCUCAACUCAACAUCAUGGCACCUACUACAAUUAAAUGCAGCAAGCACCCCCAAUUACAACCCUGGCAAACCAAACUGAUCCCUUACCUCCAAAAAUGUUCUAGAACUGCUGAACACUGCUGGAGAAAGUCUCACUUUGCAUCUGACUUCCUCCACUAUAAAUUUAUGCUGCGCUCCUACAGCCUGGCUCUUUCCGCUGCAAAAGUAAAUUACUUUAACACCCUCAUAAGUACACUGUCCCAUCAACCCAAACACCUAUUUCACACUUUUGAUGCUCUUCUUCGCCCUUUUCAUCCCCCUCCUUCUACCACCUUGUCCGCCACAAACUUUGCAUCUCAUUUCACUGAGAUCUCUACAAUCAGAGAAGAGAUCGCUAAUUUCUCUCCUUCCCCUACUAAUACAUCACCCAACCCCACUCCCUCCACCAUUCUACACUUAUUCACACCUGCUACAGCAGAAGUGGUUUCUGUUCUGCUCCGGUCCUCCCGCCCCACCACCUGUUCCUUCAUAUCUCAUCUGCACUUUGUCUCCCUCUCUUGCUCUUCCUCUCAAUAAAAGUUUCAAUCUCUCCCUUUCCUCUGGCACAUAUCUCUCACCCUUCAAACAUGCAACAGUAACCCCAGUUCUGAAAAAAUCCAGCCUUGACCCCAACUCCCCAUCCAACUACCGCCCUAUCUCGCUACUACUAUUUGCUUCCAAGAUCCUCAAGAGAGUUUUUUACACCAGACUGACUGACUUUCUUGAAACCAACUCUCUGCUUGACCCCCCUCAGUCUGGAUUCCGCGCUGGUCAUUCUGUCGAAACGGCUGUGACCAAAGUAUCCAACUAUUUAAUUGCUGUUAAAUCUCGUGGCCAUUAUUCUAUCCUAAUUCUCCUUGAUCUUUCUGCUGCCUUUGACACUGUUCAUCAACAACAGCUUUUUCGCAUUCUCCGUAAUUUUGGUCUACGGGAUACUGCUCUCUCCUGGUGCUCCUCCUACCUCUCCCAGCGCUCUUUCAGUGUUUCAUACUCUGACUCUGCCUCUUCCCUCCAACCACUCUUUGUCGGCGUCCCCCAAGGUUCUGUCCUUGGUCCUCUACUGUUCUCUAUCUACACUGCCUCCCUUGGUAAACUCAUCAGCAAAUUUGGCUUCCGUUAUAAUUUCUAUGUGGAUGACAUGCAAAUCUACCUGUCCUCUCCUGAUAUCUCUCCACCUAUCUUGAUUAGGUCUCUGACUGCAUCUCUUCGAUUUCCAAAUCGAUGGCUGUUCACUUCCUUAACCCCUAUAGAACACAUGACAUGUGUGACAUGUCAUGAUUCCCUUUUAUUCCAGAAGUUUGGUCCUUAAGGGGUUAAACUCAACCUGUCCAGAAAAUAACUUCUGGUCUUUCCUCUCUCAAGUGUUAACACUCUCGUGUCUGUCUCCCUCCUAGUCAAUGGUGCUACCAUCAACUCUACCUCGCAGGCUUGCUGCCUGGGUGUUCUUUUUGACUCCAACCUCUCCUUCACCCCUCAUGUCCAAUCAAUCGCCAAAUCCUGUCGCUUCCAUCUCAAAAACAUAGUGCGCACCCGCCCCUACUUAACCCCGGAUGCGGCUAAGGUGCUGGUCCAUGCUCUUGUUCUCUCUUGCCUGGACUACUGCAAUACUCUUCUCAGUUAUCUUACGUUUUCCCAGAUUGCACCGUUGCAAUCUAUGAUGAAUGCAGCAGCGAGGCUCAUUUUCCUGUCCACUCGCACCUCCCACGCCUCUCCGCUCUGUCAGUCCCUGCAUUGGCUUCCAGUUAGAUAUAGGGCUCAAUUUAAAAUUCUGGUGCUUGCUUACAAGUCCCUACAUAAUGCUGCUCCAACCUACCUAUCCUCCCUAAUACACAAGUAUGUCCCGUCGAGGCCCCUACGCUCUGCCAAAGACCUACGUAUAAGACCUCUGUACGUACUCCCACCUCUAACGCUCACCUCCAAGAUUUUUCCAGGGUUGCACCUCUUCUGUGGAAAUCCCUUCCCUUCUCCGUAAGAUUUUCACCCAGUCUCCACUCAUUCAAAAAAUUAUUGAAAACUCACUUCUAAGUAAAGUGUGUCUGUCUGUGUGUCUAUCAGUGAGUGUGUGUGUCUGUCUGUCUGUGAGUGUGUGUGUCUGUGUGUGUCUGUCAGUGUCUGUGUGUGUGUCUGUCACUGAGUGUGUGUGUCUGUCAGUGAGUGAGUGUGUUUGUCAGUGAGUGUGUAUGUGUUGGUCAGUAUUUCAUUGGCUGCGACUGGACAGUGGAGUACCUGGAGGUGCAUGGAGGCACGCAACGCCACGUCACAUUCUGACGUGACAGACAUCGUCAUGCUCCACCUUGACAGGACUUCAAAACGUAGCAGGAGUAUCAGAUUAGGCACAGGGUGCGGACAGCGCCAUUUGGCUAGAGGGGAAUGCUGGGAUUUAGUAGAAAGGGAGGACCGGGAUUUAUUAGAGGUGAGUGCUGUGGUUUAGUAGAUGGGGAGACUGAGAUUUAGUAGAGGGGGGUGCUGUGGUUUAAUAAUGGGGGAUGUUGUGUUUUUUUUAUACUGUAUUUUUCAAAAUAAACCUACGUUUCUAUGAAAAAAGUUUUUUUUUGCGGCCCACAUAAACUUAACGUACUGCACCCCUCUGUACUAUUCAUAUAAUAACAAACUGCACCCCACUAUACUAUUCAUAUAAUAACAUACUGCACCCCUUGAUACUAUUCAUAUAAUAACAUACUGCACCCCACUACAAUAUUCAUAUAAUAACAUACUGCACCCCAUUAUACUAUUUAUAUAAUAACAUACUGCACCCCACUACAAUAUUCAUAUAAUAACAUACUGCACCCCAUUAUACUAUUUAUAUAAUAACAUACAUCACCCCUCGAUACUAUUCAUAUAAUAACAUACUGCACCCCACUACAAUAUUCAUAUAACAUACUGCACCCCAUUAUACUAUUUAUAUAAUAACAUACAGCACCCCUCGAUACUAUUCAUAUAAUAACAUACUGCACCCCACUACAAUAUUCAUAUAAUAACAUACUGCACCCCAUUAUACUAUUUAUAUAAUAACAUACAACACCCACUAUAUUAUUCAUAUAAUAUGACUGCACCCCAUUAUACUAUUCAUAUAAUAACAUACUGCACCCCCACUAUACUAUCCAUAUAAUAACAUGCUGCACCCCAUUAUACUAUUUAUAUAAUAACAUACUGCACCCCACUACAAUAUUCAUAUAAUAACAUACUGCACCCCACUACAAUAUUCAUAUAAUAACAUACUGCACCCCAUUAUACUAUUUAUAUAAUAACAUACAGCACCCCUCGAUACUAUUCAUAUAAUAACAUACUGCACCCCACUACAAUAUUCAUAUAAUAACAUACUGCACCCCACUACAAUAUUCAUAUAAUAACAUACUGCACCCCACUACAAUAUUCAUAUAAUAACAUACUGCACCCCAUUAUACUAUUCAUAUAAUAACAUACAGCACCCCAUUAUACUAUUCAUAUAAUAACAUGCUGCACCCCAUUAUACUAUUUAUAUAAUAACAUACAGCACCCCUCGAUACUAUUCAUAUAAUAACAUACUGCACCCCACUACAAUAUUCAUAUAAUAACAUACUGCACCCCACUACAAUAUUCAUAUAAUAACAUACUGCACCCCAUUAUACUAUUCAUAUAAUAACAUACAGCACCCCAUUAUACUAUUCAUAUAAUAACAUACAGCACCCCCACUAUACUAUCCAUAUAAUAACAUGCUGCACCCCAUUAUACUAUCCAUAUAAUAACAUACAGCACCCCUCGAUACUAUUCAUAUAAUAACAUACAGCACCCACUAUAUUAUUCAUAUAAUAUGACUGCACCCCAUUAUACUAUUCAUAUAAUAACAUAGAGCACCCCCACUAUACUAUCCAUAUAAUAACAUGCUGCACCCCAUUACACUAUAUGACGUUAAACUAAAAGAUGUCUGUCACUGGAGUAAAACAUCAAAUAACAAUAAUAUACUGUUUUGUACGUAUUACCUCUGCUUACUUAAUUCUUUAUCCCUUUCUCUCUCUCUCUGUUCUGCAAACAUCUAUAAAGUUAACAACACGUCUACAUUAAUAAACAUACAUAGAUCACACGUUUACUAAUCUCCCUUGUUUGUUCCCCCUAAACAUUUAUAUCCUAACACAAUUAAAGAUUAAUUUAGGGAUUUAUUAAUUUGCCUUUCUUCUGAUUAUCAAUGAUCUAUACUAAUAAACAAUAUAACAGCACCACCUACUGUCAG
Molecule: long non-coding RNA, 7635 nt
Filed under: Pelobates cultripes (western spadefoot toad)
Lineage: Eukaryota; Metazoa; Chordata; Amphibia; Anura; Pelobatidae
Source: RNAcentral